Molecule: long non-coding RNA, 2080 nt
Organism: Dama dama (fallow deer)
Lineage: Eukaryota; Metazoa; Chordata; Mammalia; Artiodactyla; Cervidae
Exons: 3
Source: RefSeq, a predicted model, not a curated record
CAUAAUCCUGACUGAACAGCAUUUCACAACCACGCCAGGAGGCAGGCUCUUUUUUGAGCACUGAGGUGGCUAUGAAAGCAGCCUUUGAAUUUCAAAGCACUGCAGCCCAUCUAUUUGGAGCUCGCGUCCGUGACAGUCGCGGUAUUUUCUGGCACGGCACACUGCGCAUGGGGCAGCAGUGCAGAUGUGCACAUUCUGUGCCUCACCUUACGUGUUCGUAAGAGCACUUGUACUCCAGUACUCUUGCCUGGAAAAGCCCAUGGACGGAGGAGCCUGGUAGGCUACAGUCCAAGGGGUCGCUAAGAGUCGGAGACGACUGAGCCACUUCACUUUCACUUUUCACUUUCAUGCACUGAAGAAGGAAAUGGCAACCCAUUCCAGUGUUCUUGCCUGGAGAGCCCCAGGGAUGGGGUCGCACAGAGUCGGAUACGACUGAAGAGACUUAGCAGCAGCAGCAAGAGCACUUGUAGUGCGCCGAGGCGUGAGGGCAAAGGUGCCCUUGACCAACGAGUUCAAGAUAUCCACGGCCUUGGGAGAGAUACCUGUGCCGGGAAGCAUCUGCUUCAGCACCUUAUACGCGUCGAUAUAUUAGCUCUACGUGUGGCUGCGCUUAAUUUUUCGCUUAUCCUAAGCCUCACCAGACAGCGUUCUCGGAGCGGUUCUUGGGCUGCGCCUCUGGAAUGGAAUCAGGCGGAGCCAGCCCUGCAGCGGGCGGCGGCGAUGACUAUUUAUUAUCUCCAUAUUCAAAUUAGGGCUCCAAUAUCCUAGAAUCGGAUUGGACGGUCGGUCCCGCUCGGCCUGGUUACAAAGAAUUUAUGUAAAUAGUAGAUGCCAGCUCUUCUUUCCUAUUGGACAAUAGGUCAACCAAUCCGAAGGCCAUGAGUGGAGUCAGGUUCAGUUCAGUUCAGUUCGGUUCAGUUGUGUCUGACUGUGUGCGACCCGAUGGGCUGCAGCUAGCCAGGCCUUCCGAGUCAGGUUGCGGAUUUCUGUUCAAACCCUUUGUUGUAACUGGAGCUGGGUCUUUGUUUAGUUACCAUGUCUGUACCGGACAAAAAAAUGAAGAAGGUAAUAAAAACCCGCUUUAAUCCCGCGUCUCCGAUUUUCCUGGAUAGGAGACAAAACACAAGGGGACAUUUUUGACACGGUCAGUACCCAGAAAGAGGGCAGCCAUCUGCAAUCUAGAAGAGGUCCUCACCAGAACCCACCCACACUGGCACCCUGAUCUCUAUUCCCAGCUUCCAGAAUUGCGUGCUGCAGGAAAGGAGGUGGUGGAAAUCCCAGGAUGUGCUGUGGAGCUUUGCACAGAACUGGUAAACUUCAUGCAAUGCUUGCGGGAUUGCGAAGAAGUAAAAGACGGCUUAGACAGCCUUUGUCCUGCUGCUCAGCUUCCAGCGGACACCCUGCGGACAAAAACCAUCCUGCUACCACCACGGGAUGCACCGCGCAGCACGGAGUUGGGGAUCCCAGUCUCCCGUGCCUUUCCCACUGCAGCGCUGGCAUCCGGGGCCCAUCGAACUGCCCGCCCACCUAGGACGUGAGAUAGGCCGAGCUGCUGGCCCGCAUUGUUUGCAAGAUGACUGGGGUCGCUUCCUGAAGUCUUUUCCAAACGCCCGUGUUGGCCAAGCGACUUCUGUGCCCAUUUUAUUUCAGCAAAUUUGAAGAGUAGGGCUGCAGUCUAAUCCCAGAGCCAGGUGUGAGUGAAGGACAGAAAUCACAGCUGCAGAAGUGAGAGAGGACCGGGAAAUGGGAUCUGAAGCAGCAACGGACGGACAGCGCCCAUGCAGACACACAGAGGCAGGACAUGCUCGCCCACUGACUUCUGAGCUGAGACAGUCACAUCCGGGUGGACCAUGGGGGUGUAGAAGGCGUCAGAGGCAAGGCUGGGGUCAGUGGGAUGGAAAGCACCCAGUCCCCCUCCCCACAACCCGUGCGAAGCUGCGGUUCAAGGACGGUUCUGAUUGUUCUUCCAGGAGAACGCCACCCCCUCCCCCAUAUAUACACAGUGUUUUUCUCCUACCUCUUAUCUAACUAUGUUAAUUUCAAGGUCGUAAGGUGUGUUGAUGGAGAAGGUAAUGGCAAC